CUCAAUUUUGUUGAUUUAAAAAUUUGUUGCCCCCUUGGUUGGGUUGCAAUUUGAUGCAUGAAUAGCACACCUUGAAGGGAGGCCAAGUUUCAUGAAUGCAUUGCAAAUUGGAUAUUAUGAAUAAACCUCCCUAUCAUUCUCUCUGAGCUUAUUUGAAUUGACAUCUUUGUUUGUUAACUUGUCUAUUUAUGUUCAAGAACAGGAAAAUUCCCUACUCUUGUUACUCACCAAGAAUCUCUUGAGUCUAAAGUCAAUGAAAUCAAGGCCACAGUGAAGUUCCAGCUGAAGAAGGUUCUCUGCAUGGGAGUAGCUGUUGGGAACUGUGCUAUGGAAGAGAAACAGAUUUUUCAGAAUGUUCAGAUGAGUGUCAAUUUCCUUGUUUCCUUAUUGAAGAAAAAUUGGCAAAAUGUCAGGUGCUUGUAUCUGAAGAGUACAAUGGGUACAUCAAAUCGUGUUUUCUAAAUUCCUAUACGGGUUGUCUUGGAGUUGUGCUUCACAGUGAUCAGGUCUAUCUCCAAGUAAGGAUCGUGGAAAGGUCAUUCAAGUUAUGUUUUCUCUUUCUUAAGUUGGAUGGUAGAAAUCUUACAAUGUUUGACUUCUAUAUUACCUUUUUGGUAGAUACAGGAGGAUUGAAUUUCAAGUUUUGGUUGUCUUUUUGUAUCUUUUAUGGUGCAUUUUGUUGUUUGGCACCUAAGAAAAAAAUAUUGCUUUCAUUAUGAUUACAAAUUUCUUUUAUUUUCUUGUGAAGUAGGGGAAGAGGAUUUCCACACAGUAAUUUAGCUUAUUCAUGAAAUGGGACCAACAAUUUUCCUUGUUCCAAAGGAGCAAACAUAUAAUGAUCAUUCUAAAUUGAAGAAA
This is a non-coding RNA of Carica papaya (papaya), 858 nucleotides long. Lineage: Eukaryota; Viridiplantae; Streptophyta; Magnoliopsida; Brassicales; Caricaceae. The record is from RefSeq and is a predicted model, not a curated record.